GUGGGGAAUCUUGCGCAAUGGGCGAAAGCCUGACGCAGCCAUGCCGCGUGAAUGAUGAAGGUCUUAGGAUUGUAAAAUUCUUUCACCGGGGACGAUAAUGACGGUACCCGGAGAAGAAGCUCCGGCUAACUUCGUGCCAGCAGCCGCGGUAAUACGAAGGGGGCUAGCGUUGCUCGGAAUUACUGGGCGUAAAGGGCGCGUAGGCGGACAGCUUAGUCAGAGGUGAAAGCCCAGGGCUCAACCUUGGAAUUGCCUUUGAUACUGGCUGUCUUGAGUUUGGGAGAGGGGAGUGGAACUCCGAGUGUAGAGGUGAAAUUCGUAGAUAUUCGGAAGAACACCAGUGGCGAAGGCGACUCACUGGCCCAAUACUGACGCUGAGGCGCGAAAGCGUGGGGAGCAAACAGGAUUAGAAACCCGGGUAGUCC
This 425-nucleotide ribosomal RNA is filed under the name uncultured bacterium. RNAcentral describes it as "partial 16S ribosomal RNA". It matches the Rfam family "Bacterial small subunit ribosomal RNA", at positions 354 to 796 of the family's 1533-position model. The record is from RNAcentral.